GACGAACGCUGGCGGCGUGCUUAACACAUGCAAGUCGAACGGAAAGGCCUUUUCGGAGGUACUCGAGUGGCGAACGGGUGAGUAACACGUGGGUGAUCUGCCCUGCACUCUGGGAUAAGCCUGGGAAACUGGGUCUAAUACCGGAUAGGACCGCACUUUAGUGUGUGUGGUGGAAAGUUUUUUCGGUGUAGGAUGAGCCCGCGGCCUAUCAGCUUGUUGGUGGGGUAAUGGCCUACCAAGGCGGCGACGGGUAGCCGGACUGAGAGGUUGGUCGGCCACAUUGGGGCUGAGAUACGGCCCAGACUCCUGCGGGAGGCAGCAGUGGGGAAUAUUGCACAAUGGGCGCAAGCCUGAUGCAGCGACGCCGCGUGGGGGAUGACGGCCUUCGGGUUGUAAACUCCUUUCGCCAGGGACGAAGCGUUUUGUGACGGUACCUGGAGAAGAAGCACCGGCUAACUACGUG
RNAcentral lists this ribosomal RNA (463 nucleotides) under uncultured bacterium. Its description in RNAcentral is "partial 16S ribosomal RNA". It matches the Rfam family "Bacterial small subunit ribosomal RNA", at positions 28 to 507 of the family's 1533-position model. The record is from RNAcentral.